This 206-nucleotide long non-coding RNA is filed under the name Elaeis guineensis (African oil palm). Its description in RNAcentral is "long non-coding RNA (EGUI_LNC037917)". The record is from RNAcentral. Lineage: Eukaryota; Viridiplantae; Streptophyta; Magnoliopsida; Arecales; Arecaceae.
ACUGCGGUUGCUAGUUGACCUAUUUGGGUCUCUAGCUUAGCAAUGGAUUGCGUGUGGGAGUUAAGAGUUUGGGUGUUGACUUCUAAUCGUUCUAGUGCUUUUAGAACCUUCUCCUCAAAAGUUGAGCUGUGACCAGUGGUAGACGGUUGAGGAGCAUUUUGGAACUGGUGGUAUGGUCCAUGCCUAUAUGUCGGGUCCUGAUAGUU